GACGAACGCUGGCGGCGUGCUUAACACAUGCAAGUCGAACGGUGAAGGGGCCUGCUUUUGUGGGACCUGGAUGAGUGGCGAACGGGUGAGUAACACGUGAGUAACCUGCCCCCUUCUUCUGAAUAACCGCAUGAAAGUGUGGCUAAUACGGGAUAUUCUGGGUCUGUCGCAUGGUGGGCCUGGGAAAGAUUGCGCCUUUUUUGGUGUUUUUGGUGGGGGAUGGGCUCGCGGCCUAUCAGCUUGUUGGUGGGGUGAUGGCCUACCAAGGCGGUGACGGGUAGCCGGCCUGAGAGGGUGGACGGUCACACUGGGACUGAGACACGGCCCAGACUCCUACGGGAGGCAGCAGUGGGGAAUAUUGCACAA
RNAcentral lists this ribosomal RNA (366 nucleotides) under Actinomyces naeslundii. RNAcentral describes it as "bacterial SSU rRNA". It matches the Rfam family "Bacterial small subunit ribosomal RNA", at positions 28 to 371 of the family's 1533-position model. Lineage: Bacteria; Bacillati; Actinomycetota; Actinomycetes; Actinomycetales; Actinomycetaceae. The record is from RNAcentral.